UAAUACAUGAACUGUCUGUAACAGCCGUGUGUCCCGCUAUCUAAACACUCCUGUAAAAAAAAAAAAGAAGCACUUUUUACAACAGAUGUUGUCACAAAGCAGCUUUACAAAUGUCCAAAUCCAAGCCCCCAGUGACCAAGCCAAGGGCAACAGUGGCAAGGGAAAAGAGCAUGGUCCUAGGGCCUAGUCUUGCCCUGAUAAUGUGCAUGUGUCCUGCAAGAGAACGUCCAUCAAGGGCAACGGAGAGUGGUUGUCUGGGGUGGAGGUGUGGUGGGCUACAGUAGGGGGCAUCGGGGGGUGGUGGGAGUAUCCAAGGCAGCUGAGACAGGUUGAAGCUCACUAACAUCACAACAUCAGGGGUAGGAGCACCUCGGCAGAAAGAGAGACUAGAUUAUUAGGCAUGUCCAGAUAUGAGGGUGUGUAAAUUACAGAGCUAUCAUGUGAAAUGUCCUGUUAAACAUAGAUGCACUUCGUGGAGGUAUUUCAUAAUAUGCACCUUCUUGCAAGUGAAAAUCGUCUUUACUGAAAAGAUUUUAGGCACACGUUUUUCGGAACUUUGAGGUUAUAAAGGUCCUAUGGAAAGCUAAAUCAGGAAGCGUCAGAAAUCGUCACCAGCCAAUGAGAUUUCAUGUUUGGGUUUAAAGCCCCACUUCUCCUUCCGUCGUUGGUUGCUGAUAAAAAGGCAAUGACAAUGACGCUGUACAGAGAACGGCCACGGUACUGCAUGGUGCGUUAGAAUAUAACAUCGUGAAUUUAGAAUAAAUCUACAGACAAAACAAAGAAAAAACGAAUACCUAAAUGUGUAUUUUCACAGGGUUAAUUUCGUGCCAAAACGGUCGCUAGAAUAUUCCUGGCUUUUAAUCGAAUGUGUUACCUCGCAAGAGGAUCAGAUCAGUUGACUGCUGGAUUUACCUUUCUUCCAUACAAAUAAAGAUCGGCCGCGACGCCCGAAAGGUGGAAUUGAACCACUCUGCCGCUAAGCAGCUACAGGUUUGAAGCCUGCACCCCGGACCACCGAGGGUCAUCCGGGCAUUAAGAAAAGCGUUGGGAUCGAAGGUCUUUUCACAACUCACUGUCUUAGAGGUAUAGCGCCAUCUGUCUGCCAAACACCGAAGGAGAAGGAAGCAGGGAGCUGCCCACAGCACUUUCUGGUGAAAAUAUCCAGUGUAGAAAUUAUCUUUAAAUUUAAUUUGAUUUAUGUUGGGACUAUUGUAAAUGAAGUAAAACAUCAAAAAAUGAAAGUAGAGGAAAAUUCUCGUCGAUUUGGUUGGUGCGAAAUGAUUGCUGUAUUGAACAUCAAAUAACGUUUACAUGGACACAUAGUAGCGGCCACUAGUUACCAUGACAACGAGCGUCACGUGAGUCCAGUCAGCGUGAGCAGCACGUUGCCGAGGGUUGGAGGCCUUGUCUUGUUUACUUUAAAAGAAUGGCAAUCUCAGGAAAACGCACUUAUUCUGUAACCUGCGUAUUAAGGAAAAGCAAGACGUUGACAUCGUGAAACAUAUUUUAGCCUAAGUAAAUAUCUUAAAUGUU
Electrophorus electricus (electric eel) is the source of this 1533-nucleotide long non-coding RNA. RefSeq lists it as uncharacterized. The record is from RefSeq and is a predicted model, not a curated record. NCBI's taxonomy places the organism in Eukaryota, Metazoa, Chordata, Actinopteri, Gymnotiformes, Gymnotidae.